RNAcentral lists this ribosomal RNA (119 nucleotides) under Pelobates cultripes (western spadefoot toad). The record is from RNAcentral. Lineage: Eukaryota; Metazoa; Chordata; Amphibia; Anura; Pelobatidae.
GCCUACGGCCAUACCAGUCUGAAAGUGCCUGAUCUUGUCACAUCUCAGAAGCCAUCCAGACUCGGGCCUGGUUAGGACUUCUAUGGGAAACCAACUAGGAUCCUCAGGUGCUGUAAGCU